RNAcentral lists this ribosomal RNA (460 nucleotides) under uncultured bacterium. RNAcentral describes it as "partial 16S ribosomal RNA". It matches the Rfam family "Bacterial small subunit ribosomal RNA", at positions 338 to 795 of the family's 1533-position model. The record is from RNAcentral.
UCUACGGGUGGCAGCAGUGAGGAAUAUUGGUCAAUGGCCGGAAGGCUGAACCAGCCAAGCCGCGUGAAGGACGAAGGUGCCAAGCAUUGUAAACUUCUUUUGUCAAGGGACAAAAUCAGGCUCGAGAGCCUGACCGAGGGUACUUGAAGAAAAAGCAUCGGCUAACUCCGUGCCAGCAGCCGCGGUAAUACGGAGGAUCCGAGCGUUAUCCGGAUUUAUUGGGUUUAAAGGGAGCGUAGAUGGGUUGUUAAGUCAGUUGUGAAAGUGUGCGGCUCAACCGUAAAAUUGCAAUUGAUACUGGCAGCCUUGAGUACAGUUGAGGUAGGCGGAAUUCGUGGUGUAGCGGUGAAAUGCUUAGAUAUCACGAAGAACUCCGAUUGCGAAGGCAGCCUACUAAACUGCCACUGACAUUGAUGCUCGAAAGUGUGGGUAUCAAACAGGAUUAGAUACCCCAGUAGUC